AGCGAACGCUGGCGGCAGGCUUAACACAUGCAAGUCGAGCGGGCACUUCGGUGUCAGCGGCAGACGGGUGAGUAACACGUGGGAACGUACCCUUUGGUUCGGAAUAACGCUGGGAAACUAGCGCUAAUACCGGAUACGCCCUUUUGGGGAAAGGCUUGCUGCCGAAGGAUCGGCCCGCGUCUGAUUAGCUAGUUGGUGGGGUAAUGGCCUACCAAGGCGACGAUCAGUAGCUGGCGUGAGAGGAUGAUCAGCCACACUGGGACUGAGACACGGCCCAGACUCCUACGGGAGGCAGCAGUGGGGAAUAUUGGACAAUGGGCGAAUGCCUGAUCCAGCCAUGCCGCGUGAGUGAUGAAGGCCUUAGGGUUGUAAGGCUCUUUUGUCCGGGAGGAUAAUGACGAUACCGGAAGAAUAAGCCCCGGCUAACUUCGUG
This 433-nucleotide ribosomal RNA is filed under the name uncultured bacterium. Its description in RNAcentral is "partial 16S ribosomal RNA". It matches the Rfam family "Bacterial small subunit ribosomal RNA", at positions 29 to 507 of the family's 1533-position model. The record is from RNAcentral.